This is a non-coding RNA of Triticum urartu, 928 nucleotides long. NCBI's taxonomy places the organism in Eukaryota, Viridiplantae, Streptophyta, Magnoliopsida, Poales, Poaceae. The record is from RefSeq and is a predicted model, not a curated record.
CUGCUGCUGCUGCGGAGUCGGCGCGAACUGCUGGAGCUUCAUGGCGCCCUGGCUCACCGGCACGCCGGGGUGCGGCGCGUAGCCCGGGCCGCACAUGUACUGCUGCAUCUGCUGCUGGGCGACAUCGGUAAACAAGAUCAGAUAUAAAAUGUGCAAAGGGAGAACCUGCUGGAUUGACAUCACGGGCGCCAUAUUCCCUCUGCUGCUACAAGGGAGAUGCGAAUACGACUGAUACGGCGCCGGACCACCGCGGACCACCAUUUUCAGGAAGGGAAAGCUGUGAAUAAAAAGGAUGUAUUUGUCAGCUCAACAGCCAAAGUGUUCAAGCUUGGCAUUUAGUUAUGUACAGGGAAGGCAAAACAAGGCAUCACCUUUCCAAGGGUCCUCGGCCUCUUCCUGAUGAUCAGGCUGCUGCUGCUGCUAGGAGUGGUGGCUCUGGUGAGUGAGGAGAGGACUGCAUCGUCGUCGCGGCCUCCGUCGGAACCUUCUUCGGCCUCGCAGCUGCGGUUGUUCAUGUCGCUGUUGGUUGAUCUCCACUUCAGGGGCUUGGGUUUUUUCCCUUUCUUACGCUUGAGCUCGGCGAUGUGAUCCCCGCCCUCGCUCUCAUUUAUGUUGCUGUCUGGAAAUAGUGUUCAGAGGGGAACUGAGAUUAGAAAGGUAAUCUGAUGGAAUAGCCGUUGUCAAGCAUCAUGAUAUAGUAGUGUGCAAGGCCGUACUUCUAGUACAGUACUUGUUUCAGGUUUUUAAAGCUAUUAUCCCCCUUAAAAAAUAAAUUAAUUUUUAGACAGAAAAUAAAAGAAAUUAGAUGCACCAAUGGCUUGGAAAUAGCAGAAACUGCUGUACAAACUGUAUAGUGUGUGUUGCAAGGACAAAUUCCUGGAAAAAAAAGAGGAGAAACAGAAGACUGUGUGAUGGUUCUGUGUAAAAA